Equus caballus (horse) is the source of this 4117-nucleotide long non-coding RNA. Lineage: Eukaryota; Metazoa; Chordata; Mammalia; Perissodactyla; Equidae. The record is from Ensembl.
GGUGGGAUCACUUAUAUUUGUCGCUCCGUUGCUGUCGGCACCCACCGAAUCUCACUUGUCCUCUAUGGGUCGCAGGAGAGCUAUUGGCAUCUUCUACAGUCUGUGGUUAGUACACCUAGCUAUGCUGCUUUUGCCCUGGGGUCUUCCAGCCUUGUGGCUGGCGGCUGGGUGCCUUCUACUGGUGCUGUGCAGAGGCUUUCCCUAAGGCUGCUGUGAGCCUGUAGGGUUUCCCCCUAGGCUACUAAGCUGGGUCUCUGGAACUCUCUCCAGCCCCAGUCCUCUCCGAGAUCUCCGGCAAUCCCUAGUCUCACGGGGCGGGCAACGGCAGCUGGGGGUCGCCCCGCCCUCUGGGCUUCUCUCCGGGCCUCUCCCGGGAGCCCUGAAUGCUGGACGUGGCCCCUCUGGUAAUGGCAGACAGAGAGUUUUGUCUGCUGCCUGGCGGAACUCCGGCGCUUCCCCUCCGGGUCGCAGAACCGGCCUUUGAAAGUUCCCCCCGCCCCGGUCCUCUCCGAGAUCUCUGGCAAUCCCUAGCCCCACGGGGCGGGCAACAGCAGCUGGGAGUCGCCCCGCCCUCUGGGCUUCUCUCCGGGCCUCUCCCGGAGCCGUGAAUGCUCAGCGUGGCCCCUCUGCUAAUGGCAGACAGAGAGUUUUGUCUGCUGCCCAGGCGGAGCUCUGGCGCUUCCCCUCCAGGUUGCAGAACCGGCCUUUGAAAGUUCCCCCAGCCCCGGUCCUCUCCGAGAUUUCCGGCAAUCCCUAGUCCCACGGGGCAGGCAACGGCAGCUGGGAGACCUCCGUACCCUCCGUGACUCUCUCUGGGACCCUCCGGGCGCCCCGAGCACCAGGCUGGGUCUCCCCGCCAAUGGUGGGGAGAGACUCUCCCCGCGGGCUCAGGUGUGCAACUCCAAAGUUUCCCUCUGCGUUUAGGAGUAAUUGCGGGGGGUUUAGGUAGGGUUCUGGUCACCUGUUUCCACCGUCGCUCCUCUGUUGUGUUCUCGCUCCUGCCCUAGAUGUAUGUGGAUCCUCUGGGGGCGUCUGUUGGAAGAAAGCCGCUUGCGGGUACUAGGCUGCCUGUCGGGGUCGGAGAGUUUUCACCUAUUUCCCCAUCCUCCCGGAGGAAAGUCCGUCCGCCUUCCGAUGUAUAGUCGCGUGGGUGUCUCAGACGUCCUGAGAUGCUGUCUGGAUAUCCUUUGUCAAGCGAUAAGUGUCCAAAUAAUUGUAGACUCGAAGGGCGAGAGACAAAGAGGACUACUCACGGCGCCAUCUUGGAUCUUCUCCCUCUUAUUCUUUUUUCAAGAACAAACUUUUGACUUGGUUGUUGCUUUCAAUUGUUAUGUUUAUUUUCUAUUGUCCUCAUUUUGGCUUUUAUUUUAUUGUUUCCCUCCUUGUACUUUCUUAUAGUGAUUCUGGGGGAAUUUCUUGUUGCUGUGCUAGUGUGUAGGAUAUCUUCCAUUUGCCCCACUGGAUGUACUCUCUACCGUUUUCAUACCGAGAGAGUGACUUGUCCUCUACUCCUGUAGUUGUGUAUAAACUGCAUCAAUGGGCUCACUUGCUCUCUGGCUUGCAAUUGGGUCCAACCAAUGCAGCAUCUAGGCAGGAGAUUGGAGAGAGAAAAUAGAAUGAGGUCAUGAUAUUUAUUCCCAUGGCUCCCUUCUGGCAGGAUUGCUUCAGUCUGGCUAGUGUUUUCAGUUGAAGGUCACUGUCUCAACUCUCUCUUCAGGUAAUGGUAACCUUUCCAUUUCCUUGUUCCCUUCAGGCUAGGAACAGUAAUGGCAGUGCUAUUACUAGUCCCAGACUACUGAAUUAUCCCUUGUGGUUCUGCCCUCUGCCCAUACCUUUGUAAAUAGUCUUUUUAUUAAACUCUCCUCUAAUGUUCCUAAUUUGAAUGAGCUGUCUAUUUCCUGCCAGGUGCCUACUUGAUAAACCUAGAGACUAUUAUGACUGGUACAUGUUCUUAAUUUAAAGUCAAGUUAAUCAUUAUCUUUACACUCCUCCCAAAUAAGAGAAAUACAUUAGAUCAGCAAGAUUGCAGGAUACAAGAUUAAUACACAAAAAUCAGUUUAUUUCUAUACAUUUGCAAUUAACAAUCCAGAAGUGAAAUUAAGAAAACAAUUCCUUUUACAAUAAGAUAGAAAAGAAUAAGUUACUUGGGAGUAAAUUUAACAAAAGAAAGACUGGAGGAUUAUGCACUGAAAACUAUAAAAUAUUGUUAGAAAUUUUUCAAAAGUAAAUGGAAAAAUAUUUCCAUGUUCAUGGAUUAGAAGACAUAAUAUUGUUAAGAUGGCAUUACGACCCAAAUUGACCUACAGAUUCAAUGCAACUGAUACCAGACCUCUUAAUCUCAAGUUCCUGUGCCCAAUGCACAGCAAGCCAAACCCUGAGACAUCAGUGCUUGGCGAUAGAGAAGAUUUAUUCAAAUUGGCCCAAACAAGAAGGCAGGAGCCUGGGUUUGCUCAAAUCUGCCUUCCCAAGAACAGAAAGCAGGGAGUUUUAUAGAGCUAAGGGGCUUGGCAGGAGGAGCUUUGGAGAAACAAAGGGAUCACUCCAGAUAAGCCCCUGGGCAGUCUGACUCCCGGGCCUCAGGGCAGGAUCUGGUGAUUGCAUCCUCCCCUAAGGCAUUCUCUUUCUUCUGCUAAACAAACUCACAAAUCCUUCCUCCGCAAGUUCAACAAGAAAACAGCAAAUUGACAAGAUUCGUCUAUGUCUGUGUUGGGGAACAAGGUCAAAAGGCAAUCAUGUUCUUAGUAUCUACAGUAACCCUCAGGUACUGACUUCACAAUCUCUAUCAAAAUUCCAGCUGCUGUUUUUUUAGAGAAAUUGACAACUUGACCCUAAAGUUAAUAUGAAAAUUCAAGGGACCCAGAAUAGCCAAAACAAUUUUGAAAAAGAAGAACAAAGCUGGAGGAUUCACACAUCCUGAUUUCAAAACUUAAUAUAAAGCUUCAAUAAUCAAGAGAGUGUAGUACUGACAUAAGGAUAGACAUAAAUUAAUGGAAUAGAACUGAAAGUCCAGAAAUAAACUGUUAUAUUUACGGUCAAUUGAGUUUUGGAAAAGGUGCCAAGGGAGUCCAAUGGGGAACAUUUUUAAGAAACGUUGUGGGGACAACAGGAUAUCUAUCUGCAAAAGAAAGAUUGUGAACCUCUAUUUCAUGCAAUAUAAAAAAAUCAACUCAAUGAAUCAAAGAUUUAAAUAGGAGCUAAAACUAUAAAAUUCUUAGAAGAAAACAAAGGCGUAAAUCUUUGUGACCUUGGACUAGAUAAUGGUUUCUUAGAAGACACCUACAGCACAUGUAAACAAAGAAAAGCAGAUAAAUUGGACUUCCUCAAAAUUGAACACUUUUGUGCUUCAAAGGACACUAUCAAUAAAAUGAAAAGACAACCCACAGAAUGGAAGAAAAUAUUUGCAAAUCAAAUAUCUGAUGAGAGUCUAGUAUCCAGAAUAUAUAAAGAACUCUUAGAACUCAACCAUAAAAAGCCAACCCAAUCAAAAAAUGGGCAAAGGAGAUAAGUAGACGUUUCUCCAAAGAAGUAUACAGAUGGCCAAUAGACACAUGAAACAUCAACAUCGUUAGUCACUAGGGAAAUGCAAAUCAAAACCACAAUGAGAUACCACUUCACCCCCACUAUGUUGGUGUCUUAGUCUGCUUGGGCUGCUAUAACAAAAUGCCAUAAACUGAGUGGCUUAUAGACAACAGAAAUGUAUUUCUCACAGUUCUGGAGGCUGGGAAGUCCAAGAUCAAGUGCCGGCAGAUUCCAUGUCUGGGGACAGCCCUGUUGUUAACUCUGGUGCACUCCGCUUCAGCGGCCCGGGUUCGCUGGUUCAGAUCCCAGACGUGGACCUACACCACUUGUCAAGCCAGGCUGUGGUGGUGAUCCACAUAAAAAAGAGAGGAGGAUUGACACAGAUCUGUAUCUUCCUCAAGCAAAAAAUGAGGAAGAUUGACAACAGAUGUUGGCUCAGAGAGAAUCUUCCUCACCAAAGAAAAAAAAUUGCUUUCCAGAAAGAUAUAUCAAUUUAUAUUUUCACCAUCAGCAUUCUAUUAGUACAACUGAGGAGGGGCAUCUUUUUACACAGUUAAUGGCCAUUUAUUUUUCUUCUGUGAAUUGCCUUCUCCUUUCU